This is a long non-coding RNA of Felis catus (domestic cat), 1456 nucleotides long. RefSeq lists it as uncharacterized. The record is from RefSeq and is a predicted model, not a curated record. NCBI's taxonomy places the organism in Eukaryota, Metazoa, Chordata, Mammalia, Carnivora, Felidae. The transcript has 2 exons.
CCUGUAGCAGGAAACGGAAAUCAGCCAGGAAUUGUGGGGAUGUGCCCCUCCUGUGUACAGCCCCACUUGCUAGAAUAUACUAGUGUCUUCUUCCAGACACUGGGUGGGGGGAGGGGUGCAGCAGCCCAGGACCAAGAAAAAUCACAGCACUUUCCCUACUUCUUCAUCAGCCCCUCUCUCCUGUUUCCCAACACCAAGCAGGACCCUCUGAACCUCCUGGGAAGACCCAGGACACAGGAUGCCAUCUUCACUAGCGGCAGGCGGAUGCCCCGAAAGAGGCCCUUGGCACCAGAGAGCCCGAGCCUCCAGAUGCUGGGGACAGGCCAGACAGCGGGGAAGGAGUCAGGACACUUACAGCCGGGCCAGUUUCGCCCGAACGUCCGCGGGGACCAGGAGGUCCAAUGGGGCCAGGGAUUCCAUUAGCACCAUCUUUGCCAGAGGGACCGACGGGACCAGGAGGACCCUGCAGGCCAGGAGAGAGGAGCCGUCAGCAAAGGCAGGGGUGUGGUGGGGGGGGCAAGGGGGGCUGGUCGGGUGGCUGUCCUGAUGGGAAGCCCUGCAGCUUCACAUUUCUCGGAGGGCCCAGACUCGUGUCCGCUGGGCCAGGGACCAGCAGGAUGGCUUCACGGCUCUUCUAUCCUGAGCUCCUCUUUGUCGAAUCCUAUUCCCAGUGGGCCCAGCUGACAGCCAAGAGCUGUUCUCAUGUUCAUCCAGCCUGUGAUCUCAGGGGGUUUCUGGCCACAGUCACCCUGAGCCCGUCGUCCUUCCACCUCCGAGUGAGGCCCCCUGAGCCCCAGGCUUCCCUCCCCAUCAGAGCGCCCACACCUGGCCCCACCCCCGAGGAAGGACUCCCUGCAUCUCACUUACUCUAGGGCCAGAAGGACCAGCAGGACCAGAAGCACCUUGGUCUCCAGAAGGACCCUGAGCAGAAGGAAGAAGCAAAAGUCAGAGCUUUUACUGAAUUAAGGAUACUCACAGCUUCUCCUCGGUCUCCCUGCUUUCCAGUUGGGCCAGCGGGGCCAGGAGAGCCAGGGGGCCCAGGGGCUCCAGGAGCACCCACGGGACCAGUCUCACCACGAUCACCCUGUCAGGAGAGAGGUCUCAGGCUUAGAGAAGAACGUUCCAGAAAAUCCAUGGAGAAAAGGCCCUUGAAACUGAGACAAGACUCUGACUCCAGCCUACCACCUGGGGCUGACCUGGUAGGCCCAACAGAAUAUUCUCCUGUCCCACUGCUCAUAGAGACACCGAGAUAUUCACCUUGACUCCAGCCGCACCAUCUCUGCCAGGGGGGCCAUCAGCACCAGGGCUUCCCUGGACAAGAGGAAACAAGAUGCCAUUAGAGCUGCCCCUGCCAGACUCCCAUUCUGUUCCUCCCUUCUCCCGUCGGGAGCCCCAGGCUUGUUCCCUUCCAUCCUGCUAAAGCUUUGGAAGCUCAACAAGCUUCCUUCUGCCUUCC